GAGAACCUCUGGUUAACUUAAUCCAAAGCCAAAACUCCCCGUUUAGCCAACAAUUCUGCCAGUUUCUCUCUCCCAAAUUCCAUCUCUCUCCAGCAUCCUCCGUUGUAGAAUGAUCUAGCAGAUCUUAAAUCAUUUUUCCGCUAAUUUUUUUUUUGUCUCUGAAAUUUCCAAGCACAAUAACAUCAACAGCAAUUACAAUAGCCAAACCUAAUUAAACCCAGCACUAAAUAGUAAAAUCCACCAUUUAUUUAGCCGAGGUUGCUUCUCAUGGAUGAACACACUACAAAAUCAAAACAAAGGAGGAGGUUUUAUUGCAAGACAAGAAUAUAAAAAUAAUAUGAUGAAUGUACUGUAGGAGCUAGAGAAGUAGAUUCUAGAUAAUAACAAGAGAAAGACGAUGCAAUUUCAACGAAGGACGCCGGAGGAGAUGACGAUGGAAGUUAGAAAAGAGAAAGCAGCAGGGUUGUUUGCUUAAUCAAAACGGGGAGUUUUGAUGGUUGGGUUAAGUUAACCAAGGUUAUAUUAUGGGUCCUACAUCUAUAUUAUUUUAUUUUAAACUCUAAUUCUAAUUUUAAAAUAUGGUACUAAUAUAUUUAAGUUUGUAAAUCAGGUGACACAGAAGCAAAAUUAUUAGAAAAAAAGAAUUCCACGAG
Molecule: long non-coding RNA, 653 nt
Filed under: Jatropha curcas
Lineage: Eukaryota; Viridiplantae; Streptophyta; Magnoliopsida; Malpighiales; Euphorbiaceae
Description: long non-coding RNA (JCUR_LNC003046)
Source: RNAcentral